RNAcentral lists this ribosomal RNA (704 nucleotides) under Lactiplantibacillus plantarum. Its description in RNAcentral is "bacterial SSU rRNA". It matches the Rfam family "Bacterial small subunit ribosomal RNA", at positions 64 to 755 of the family's 1533-position model. Lineage: Bacteria; Bacillati; Bacillota; Bacilli; Lactobacillales; Lactobacillaceae. The record is from RNAcentral.
GUGCUUGCAUCAUGAUUUACAUUUGAGUGAGUGGCGAACUGGUGAGUAACACGUGGGAAACCUGCCCAGAAGCGGGGGAUAACACCUGGAAACAGAUGCUAAUACCGCAUAACAACUUGGACCGCAUGGUCCGAGUUUGAAAGAUGGCUUCGGCUAUCACUUUUGGAUGGUCCCGCGGCGUAUUAGCUAGAUGGUGGGGUAACGGCUCACCAUGGCAAUGAUACGUAGCCGACCUGAGAGGGUAAUCGGCCACAUUGGGACUGAGACACGGCCCAAACUCCUACGGGAGGCAGCAGUAGGGAAUCUUCCACAAUGGACGAAAGUCUGAUGGAGCAACGCCGCGUGAGUGAAGAAGGGUUUCGGCUCGUAAAACUCUGUUGUUAAAGAAGAACAUAUCUGAGAGUAACUGUUCAGGUAUUGACGGUAUUUAACCAGAAAGCCACGGCUAACUACGUGCCAGCAGCCGCGGUAAUACGUAGGUGGCAAGCGUUGUCCGGAUUUAUUGGGCGUAAAGCGAGCGCAGGCGGUUUUUUAAGUCUGAUGUGAAAGCCUUCGGCUCAACCGAAGAAGUGCAUCGGAAACUGGGAAACUUGAGUGCAGAAGAGGACAGUGGAACUCCAUGUGUAGCGGUGAAAUGCGUAGAUAUAUGGAAGAACACCAGUGGCGAAGGCGGCUGUCUGGUCUGUAACUGACGCUGAGGCUCG